CUCUGCGCCGCACACUCUGCGCAGGGCGAAAGGAG
Molecule: non-coding RNA, 35 nt
Filed under: unclassified sequences
Source: RNAcentral